GCUUCCGUAGGUUAAUGGCAGACCUCAGCAAUGGUAAUGCCGCAGUGCGAGUUCGAUUCUCAUGGAAGCA
Molecule: transfer RNA, 70 nt
Filed under: Exiguobacterium sp. SL14
Lineage: Bacteria; Bacillati; Bacillota; Bacilli; Caryophanales
Description: tRNA-Thr
Rfam family: tRNA
About the family: Transfer RNA (tRNA) molecules are approximately 80 nucleotides in length. Their secondary structure includes four short double-helical elements and three loops (D, anti-codon, and T loops).
Source: RNAcentral